AGAUGAGGUAGAGGUCGCGGUUUUUAUAAGUACGGCGGGAGAGACGCGGAGAACGUCUAUGAAUUCGUCGGAAAGGAAAAAUCGCCGAAGUCUGUGUGCGUUCUCCGUGCGCGCGGGCUGGGGCUGUCACCGAACAGGGGCAGAACUGUCACGUUUGCUUUCUGAACGAACGUGAUGCGCUAUCUUCAUG
RNAcentral lists this non-coding RNA (190 nucleotides) under Aneurinibacillus sp. XH2. RNAcentral's name for it is "Lysine riboswitch aptamer". It matches the Rfam family "Lysine riboswitch aptamer". From Rfam's summary of the family: Riboswitches are metabolite binding domains within certain messenger RNAs that serve as precision sensors for their corresponding targets. Allosteric rearrangement of mRNA structure is mediated by ligand binding, and this results in modulation of gene expression. The record is from Rfam by way of RNAcentral. RNAcentral also lists the same sequence under 1 other name. Lineage: Bacteria; Bacillati; Bacillota; Bacilli; Caryophanales; Paenibacillaceae.